GACGAUGCGUAGCCGACCUGAGAGGGUGAUCGGCCACAUUGGAACUGAGACACGGUCCAGACUCCUACGGGAGGCAGCAGUGGGGAAUAUUGCGCAAUGGGGGAAACCCUGACGCAGCGACGCCGCGUGAGUGAUGAAGGUUUUCGGAUUGUAAACCUCUGUCUUUAGGGAAGAAAAUGACCGUGCCUAAGGAGGAAGCCACGGCUAACUACGUGCCAGCAGCCCCGGUAAUACGUAUGUGGCAAGCGUUGUCCGGAUAUACUGGGUGUAAAGGGUAUGUAGGCGGAUAUUUAAGUCAGAUGUGAAAUGCCCCGGCUCAACCCGGGAGCUGCAUUUGAUACUGGAUGUCUGGAGUGCAGGAGAGGACAGUGGAGUUCCUAGUGUAGCGGUGAAAUGCGUAGAGAUUAGGAAGAACACCAGUGGGCGAAAGCGACGUUCUGGACUGUAACUGACGCUGAGAUACGAAAGCGUGGGGAGCGAACAGGAUUAGAUACCCUGGUAGUCCACGCCGAUUACAUUCA
RNAcentral lists this ribosomal RNA (521 nucleotides) under Clostridium sp. enrichment culture clone CIBANICRA-SRB41. RNAcentral's name for it is "bacterial SSU rRNA". It matches the Rfam family "Bacterial small subunit ribosomal RNA", at positions 275 to 812 of the family's 1533-position model. Lineage: Bacteria; Bacillati; Bacillota; Clostridia; Eubacteriales; Clostridiaceae. The record is from RNAcentral.